AAUGGGGGGAAAAGAGGGUUUAGCUGCAGAGAGGUGAAGGGGGGAGGGUAGAGGAAGUAGAGGGAAAAGGGGAGCUCAGUCUGGGUUAGGAUAGGUUAGGUUAUCCUAACCUAAAAGAAGUUAGGAUAACUUCAUGGAUGAGGAGUAGCAUGGCCUAGUGGAAAGAACACAGGUCUGGGAGUCAGAGGAAUUGGGUUCUAAUCCCAGAUCCACCACUCGUCUGCUGUGUGGUCUUGGGCAAGUCACUUAACUUCUCCAUGCCUCAGGUCCCUUAUCUGCAAAAUGGGGAUUCAAUACCCCUUCUCCCUACUUAGACUGUGAGCCCCAUGUGGAACCUGUUAAUCUGUGCUUGGCACAUAAUAAUUGCUUAAUAAAUACCAAGAUUAUCAUUAUUAUUGUGAGAGGUUCAUAAUUGGCUCUUAGGGGGGAAAGUUAGGGGUGAAAGAGCAAAAAGGGUUGUUGGAUGGUUAUAAUAAUAAUAAUAAUUAUGGCAUUUGUUAAGCACUUACUAUAUACCAGCACUGUUCUAAGCACUGGGGUAGAGACAAGGUAAUCAAGUUGGACAUAAAUCCUGUCCCACAUGGAGCUCACAGUCUUAAUCCCUUUUUUACAGAUGAGGUAACUGAGGCACAGAGAAGUGAAGUGACUUCACAAGUGGUGGAACUGGAAUUGGAACUCAUGGAAAUAUGCAACUCGGGGAAUCCCUCUGUUUUUCAAAGCCUAACUGGCAUUUCUGAGGCUGUCAAGGUGGGCAUUUCUUCUUCUGUCUGACUUCAGUCAGCCCAUUGAAUUUAAAGCACUUACUGUGAACAGAGGACUGUACUAAGCACUUGGAAGAGUACAGUAAAACAGUGUAACAAAUAAAUUCCCUGCCCACAACGAGCUUAGUCUAAAGGGGGGAGACAGAAAUUAAUAUAAACAAAUUACAGAUAUGUACAUAAGUGCUGUGGGGCUGGGAGAGGCGAUGAAUAAAGGGAACAAGUCAGGAGGAUGUAGAAGGAAGUAGGAGAAAAAGAAAAACAUUUCUCUCUCUUUUGGUAAGUUAUUUUGUGUCUCUCUUCCCUUCUGGAAUACAAGCUGCUUGAGGAUAAGGAUCGUGACUUCGUCUAUUGAUGUUUCCCAAGCGUUUAGUACAGUGGUCUGUACACAGUGGGUCCUCCAUUAAUACAAUUGACUGAUUGAUUAAAAGGCUUCCACUGAAACACUUGCAUUAAAAAGAGAAAAGAUCACUUCGGGAAUUCACUAUAGUAAGCACUUAACUAAUACCAUUCAAAACGAACAGACAGAAACAAAAAACAGCAAAAAAGUUAGGACAAAUGUCCACGUGACCUGAAACCCUGACCUUUAUCCUCAGUCUAGAAUUUACCUCCAUCCUAUUAUAAACUUUUGGACUCUACUGUCUCCUCUUCUGGUUACCUUCAUGGUUCAUUAUUGAUCUCUAUUCAGAUCUAGAGAUGAUAUUUAUGCAUCCCUAAAAACAUUUCAUUGCAGGAACAGAUUAAUUUUGUAGAGAAAGCUUAUGAUUGAAUUCAGCUGUAAACUGCAAACUUUGGAAAACCAUUUCAAGCUUCUAAUUCUCUGGGUUUCAAUGAAUCUAAUGAGAUCUACUGGCAAACCCUAAAUAAUGGGCUAUAUACCCAGACAGACGUUAUACAGAAUCACAGGUCUAAGGAGUCAUCAAUCAACAGUAUUUAUUGAGCAUUUACUGUGUGCACUGGACUAAGUACUUGAGACUGGACUAAGUAUUUGAGAGAGUAGAGUGCAGCAGUAUUGACAGUCACUUUCCCUGCCCACAAAGAGCUUACAGUCUCAAGGAAAUUACUUGUUUUCAAGUUCAGUUACAGGGAAGAAGCAGGGAUUACUUCUACCUGGUCACUCCUCUCCUUGAGGUAACUUAAAAAUACAGUUUAGACAUAACAAAGCACAGAUUUGGAUCAUGCCAUUUAGCCAUUGGGUUGUCAACUAGCCAUUUUCAAAAAGUUUCAGUUAUGUGUUGCUGUGUCAGCUAUGAUAGUUCCAGAGCCCAGAAUUAAGUCUUUUGGGUAAUCACUACACAAUCCAGUUCAUUAUAACUCAAAUACUAAUCGAUGAUGAUACAGUGAAGCAGUCUUAUACAAC
This 2118-nucleotide long non-coding RNA is filed under the name Ornithorhynchus anatinus (platypus). Its description in RNAcentral is "lncRNA (ENSOANG00000043634.1)". The record is from RNAcentral. Lineage: Eukaryota; Metazoa; Chordata; Mammalia; Monotremata; Ornithorhynchidae.